This 118-nucleotide small nucleolar RNA is filed under the name Chinchilla lanigera (long-tailed chinchilla). RNAcentral describes it as "Small nucleolar RNA SNORA11 (ENSCLAG00000020884.1)". It matches the Rfam family "Small nucleolar RNA SNORA11". From Rfam's summary of the family: U107 (SNORA11) is a member of the H/ACA class of snoRNAs that guide the sites of modification of uridines to pseudouridines. This snoRNA was identified by RT-PCR from blood cells and its expression confirmed by Northern blot analysis. Lineage: Eukaryota; Metazoa; Chordata; Mammalia; Rodentia; Chinchillidae. The record is from Rfam by way of RNAcentral.
GGGGUGUGCUCAGAGCAGAGGACCUGAAGAAUGGCUGUUUGGUUUAAAACACUCCCAAUAGGAAUCUGAGAUCAUUGUGAAGAGAGCACAAAAUGUCAACAAAAAAUGCCUUACAUGU